This 506-nucleotide ribosomal RNA is filed under the name uncultured bacterium. RNAcentral describes it as "bacterial SSU rRNA". It matches the Rfam family "Bacterial small subunit ribosomal RNA", at positions 29 to 518 of the family's 1533-position model. The record is from RNAcentral.
AUGAACGCUGGCGGCGUGCCUAACACAUGCAAGUCGAACGGACUUAAGACGCUGAUGAGGCUUCGGCGGAUUCUUGUUUAAGUUAGUGGCGGACGGGUGAGUAACGCGUGGGCAACCUGCCUCAUACUGGGGGAUAGCAGUUGGAAACGACUGAUAAUACCGCAUAAGCGCACAGAGUCGCAUGACUCAGUGUGAAAAAACUCCGGUGGUAUGAGAUGGGCCCGCGUCAGAUUAGCUAGUUGGUAAGGUAACGGCUUACCAAGGCGACGAUCUGUAGCCGGACUGAGAGGUCGGACGGCCACAUUGGGACUGAGACACGGCCCAAACUCCUACGGGAGGCAGCAGUGGGGGAUAUUGCACAAUGGAGGAAACUCUGAUGCAGCGACGCCGCGUGAAGUGAAGAAGUAUUUCGGUAUGUAAAGCUCUAUCAGCAGGGAAGAAAGACUCGCAAGAGAGAUGACGGUACCUGACUAAGAAGCCCCGGCUAACUACGUGCCAGCCGCCGC